This 460-nucleotide ribosomal RNA is filed under the name uncultured bacterium. Its description in RNAcentral is "partial 16S ribosomal RNA". It matches the Rfam family "Bacterial small subunit ribosomal RNA", at positions 338 to 795 of the family's 1533-position model. The record is from RNAcentral.
CCUACGGGUGGCAGCAGUGAGGAAUAUUGGUCAAUGGACGCAAGUCUGAACCAGCCAAGUCGCGUGCAGGAAGACGGCCCUAUGGGUUGUAAACUGCUUUUGUGCGGGGGUAAACUGAGUCACGUGUGGCUUAUUGCAGGUACCGCACGAAUAAGGAUCGGCUAAUUCCGUGCCAGCAGCCGCGGUAAUACGGAGGAUCCGGGCGUUAUCCGGAUUUAUUGGGUUUAAAGGGUGCGCAGGCGGAUCCUUAAGUGAGUUGUGAAAUGUCGGGGCUCAACCGGGGAACUGCCGCUGAAACUGGGGGGCUUGAGUGAGGAGGAGGUAGGCGGAAGGCGUGGUGUAGCGGUGAAAUGCAUAGAGAUCGUGCAGAACGCCGAUUGCGAAGGCAGCAUGCCGGCUCCAAACUGACGCUGAGGCACGAAAGCGUGGGUAGCGAACAGGAUUAGAUACCCUAGUAGUC